ACGAAAGUCCAUGCAAGGAUGAGGAGCCACUGGAUUAAGGCAAUAGCAUAUCAAGUUAUGUCAAGCUGAACACAUUCAAACUUGUACAAGCAAGAUCCUAGACAAGGACGCUGGUAGAGGAAACAUAUUGGGGCAAGUUUAAGAGACAAACAGUCCCACAGAAACACAGAUGCAAGCAAAGGAAGAUGCUGGCUGCAUUAUAUGCUGUAUGUCCAGGUCAGAGGCUGUAAAACUUGAAGAAAGGAGCCAAGAUCGCCAGAAAUACAGUGGUGGUAUUAUAGCAAACAUGAGAUCCUAAGUCCUUUUUCAAAGCGUGCCUGCUCCCUGCAAGAGGAGGAACAGUGGCCAACCCACUCAAUCAGCUGUUGCCAUGUGGGACCUGUGAAACCUAGCUACCAUGCAAAAAGUCUGACUGACUCGAGAUUACCAUAUUGUGAGGAAGUCCAAGCUAACCACAGGGAGGGGAACUGAGAAACCUAAACAACAGUGAAAACUGAAGUCCGAGAUAGAUGGCCCAAGCUGAGCCAUCAUGGGUGACACUACCAGGGGCCAAGACAGGUUCUCUCUAACAAGCCUGUCCAAGUCACAAAGGCCCCAUGUCUGGAAUGCCAUUGAACUUGAAUUUGCCAGGGGAAGAUUUCUGACUCUCACAAAGGCCACCUGAGCCCUUGCUUGGAGCUACUUGUAUGCUUUUGGCUGAGGACAGUUAUCCCUAUUAUGAGAAGACCAUACUCACCAAUGAAGAUGUACCAUAAUGUGGAGAGAUGCAGGCAGCAGCGGAG
Molecule: long non-coding RNA, 782 nt
Filed under: Homo sapiens (human)
Lineage: Eukaryota; Metazoa; Chordata; Mammalia; Primates; Hominidae
Description: HSALNT0150366
Source: RNAcentral